Molecule: ribosomal RNA, 252 nt
Filed under: uncultured bacterium
Lineage: Bacteria
Description: partial 16S ribosomal RNA
Rfam family: Bacterial small subunit ribosomal RNA
Source: RNAcentral
UACGGAGGAUGCGAGCGUUAUCCGGAUUUAUUGGGUUUAAAGGGUGCGUAGGCGGAUCGUUAAGUCAGUGGUCAAAUUGAGGGGCUCAACCCCUUCCCGCCAUUGAAACUGGCGCUCUUGAGUGGAAGAGAAGUAUGCGGAAUGCGUGGUGUAGCGGUGAAGUGCAUAGAUAUCACGCAGAACCCCGAUUGCGAAGGCAGCAUGCCGGCUUCCGGCUGACGCUGAAGCACGAAAGCGUGGGGAUCGAACAGG